RNAcentral lists this ribosomal RNA (444 nucleotides) under uncultured bacterium. RNAcentral's name for it is "bacterial SSU rRNA". It matches the Rfam family "Bacterial small subunit ribosomal RNA", at positions 355 to 796 of the family's 1533-position model. The record is from RNAcentral.
UGAGGAAUAUUGGACAAUGGGCGCAAGCCUGAUCCAGCCAUGCCGCGUGCAGGAUGACGGUCCUAUGGAUUGUAAACUGCUUUUGUACAGGAAGAAACAGUUCUACGUGUAGAACCUUGACGGUACUGUAAGAAUAAGGAUCGGCUAACUCCGUGCCAGCAGCCGCGGUAAUACGGAGGAUCCAAGCGUUAUCCGGAAUCAUUGGGUUUAAAGGGUCCGUAGGCGGUUAGAUAAGUCAGUGGUGAAAGCCCAUCGCUCAACGGUGGAACGGCCAUUGAUACUGUCUGACUUGAAUUAUUAGGAAGUAACUAGAAUAUGUAGUGUAGCGGUGAAAUGCUUAGAGAUUACAUGGAAUACCAAUUGCGAAGGCAGGUUACUACUAAUGGAUUGACGCUGAUGGACGAAAGCGUGGGUAGCGAACAGGAUUAGAUACCCCCGUAGUCC